This 28-nucleotide non-coding RNA is filed under the name Mus musculus (house mouse). Lineage: Eukaryota; Metazoa; Chordata; Mammalia; Rodentia; Muridae. The record is from RNAcentral.
UAUUAAAUAUUUGCAAUUAACAUUGGUC